GUCCAUUUUAUAACACGUUAUCAGCACGAAUUCGCUUUAACAAUACCAGCUGAAUUCUCUGAUGAAACCCAUAUAUCUUAUUCCUUUUUCUUCUUCCUCACCAUCAUCAUCAUGGACUGAUCCCUACUUUCAAAACCUCACUCUCACAUACACAACAACACAGAUUGCCCCAAGUUCCUCCUAUGGCCGCUCAUCAUCACUGGG
This 204-nucleotide long non-coding RNA is filed under the name Prunus dulcis (almond). RNAcentral describes it as "sRNA ncRNA". The record is from RNAcentral. Lineage: Eukaryota; Viridiplantae; Streptophyta; Magnoliopsida; Rosales; Rosaceae.